CUGGUUCCACUUCUCCGCCGCUGCCCCACCGUCCAGGUCCAGCCCCACUCCCCCGUCACUCCUCCUACGUCCUCUGCAGGUGCUCCCCCAUCACUCCCCCUUCUCCUCCAUGGUCUACUGCAGGUUCUCUCCUCUCUCUGACCGCUGCUCCAUCCAUCAUCUUGGAACUGCAGGAGAAGAAUGUGUUAUGUUGGGCUCGGACUAUGUUGACAGCCAUCUUGGCCAGCAAGAGGAUGCUCACCUGCUUCGUCUUCCUCACCAGUCGGCUCUUAUUAACCAAUGAUGAUGUAUCUUCAAGGUAGAUUGAUUCUUCUUCUGGUGUUAAUUUUCUGUUGUGUUUGUUACAUAGCGGGCAGGCGACAAAUAGCCCACAAACCUUAUAGUUUUCCACCCUGCUUUCUUACCAGGGCAGACUGUGAACAAGUACUACAAAGAGGAUAUCUCUAAAUCAAGUCGCACGCCCACUAGAGAAAACCACAGGUACACCUUCUUUUGCCUUCUUUUCGUGUCACCCUUUCUUAUACUAAUCUGGGCCUAACUUAUUUAAAAUUUGAUAAUUUCCUGUGUAUUAAUAAAUUUAUACAGACAAGAUUAUUAUAUCUGUUUCUUCCUAGACAGAAAAUACAUCUUCUGACUUUUAUACUUUUCCAUAUGCUUUUCUGGAAUUUGCACACACACACACACACAUGCAAUUAAUAUGGUUUUUAAUCAUCCAGAUUUACCAUGAAUCUCAGCAAUCAGCCUUUUAAAGAGGUGUUCAUGAGUGAUGUACAGCUGCACACAAGGAUUUGUGCCAUGUGGCACUAUCCGUUCAAAGAAAUGCUUUAUCCUGCUGCAAGUUGUUUUCAAUGUUUUUCUAAGAACAAAAUGCUUUCUUUAUCUUUGUUAAUUUGAUCUUUCAAUAUAAUCAUUGUUCAGCUUUAGUUUUUCAUCGCCUUAGUUAUCCCCAUUAAUUUAGUCUUUUAGUAUAUUUAUUUUGUGUUGUUGUGCUGCUCUAGGUUUGUAUCCUGGUCAGAAUGUGUAUAAUUGUAGCUGACACAGAGAUUAUAUAGAGGUGGCAAGAAGAACACUCUGCACUGUACUGUAAUGUGUGUGUGUGCCUGUCAAACUGUUUAUUGAAUACUUUUGGCAACUAAAAAAAUGCUUCCAAUGUUGCUAAUGUUGAGAACCAUUGCUGUUGGUCUUAGAAAGGAAGGGGUUUUCAUAAUUAUCUUGGGGUGUUAAAAUUUCACUGAAAAAAUAUUGUUGACCAAAACGUUGGGACCGGCACCCUCGCGCCAAGGCAAACAACUAAACUGUACUGUAGCUUUGAACAAGGGGAGGAAUUUAUUAAGAUUAUUGCAUCUCUUUUUGUAAUGUCAUUUUUGCUUCUCUCUUUGUAAUGAUUAUACUACUGAUCAGUUUGUGUUGUGCUUCUUAGUAUCUUGCCAAUUCUAUUUUGCCUGGUCAAGCAUGUGCUUUUUUGCUGCCAUGUCAAGAACACAAAGCAUGCCAAUGUGUUUUAAUUUAUUUCCACUACAAUUUUUUCCUGUUGCCAAAAGUGGCGUUUCUAAAAAAAAGGAAAUGUAUGGUGUCUUUUGUGCAGGUUGGUUUGCACAAGGUGCUGUAGUUUUCAAGAUAUAUCAUGUGCUCAAAUGUUUGAACCAAAGGCUUAUGUUGUGUACCGAAAGAAUCCUGAGAAAUUUUAGAUGGUGAGUUCUAUUGGAAAUAUGUUGAUCCUUACUAUUAUUAUAUUAUCUUUUGAAUGCACAUUUCAUGCUCAAGUUUUAAAAAAAUCAUAGAAAUCUUGGUGUUUUCUUCUCUUAUUGUUCCUAAUUUUAUAGGAGACCUGGAUGACUACCUAGGAUUUAGAUGUGUUAGACCAGACCCCAAGAUAUAUCAUGCGCUCAAUGUUACAUAUAUAUUCACAUUUAGUGGAAAUGAGCAUGCAGUAAUUAACUGGACUAUAGUAGAUGGACUGAGAACAUAACAGAAAAAGUCGGGGACAGAAGGUCCCGAAGGAGAUAUUUUCGUAAUUGUAGCUUUGCAGCUCAAAUUGAGCAUCAUUGUGGCUGUAGUUUAGUGGUGAGAAUUCCACGUUGUGGCCAUGUAGACCUCGGCUUGAAUCCCAGCAGCCACACAAUUCUUUUCUCUCACUUUCUUUCUUUUUGACAGUACAUUUCUUGCAAUCUAGCAGUACUGAUUGCAUGUUAUUACUCCUGCAAGAUGAUUAGAUUAUUCUUUUCAUGCAAAAAAUCACCUCGCGCGUUAUUAAUCUGAAAUGGAUUUUAACCUGUUUUGAGCAACUUUCUAUGAUGAGAAGAAGUUAUAACAAGUGAUUUUUUCAAAAAAUAAAUAACAUGAGUGAAAUGAAGGACAUUUUCCUAUCAAGUACUCUGGAACUGUGAGCUUAUUAGAGAUUUGGAUCCUUUAAGAUCAUCGAAAAUCUUCAGGCUAAAGAGGUAUAUUGCCAAGGAGCAAUCAUAUAUGGCCAGGCCAUGCUAAGGCCAAGGACGGUGGCUGCCACCACACGGUGUCUGUCUUCUUAUUCCACUAUUUUGUCAAAUUGGAUUUGGAAUUGAAUGUGUGAACUCAGUGUUCUGGCAGAUCGGAAACAAGUUUUGUGUGCAAUGCAAUCUUUAUAUGAUACAUACCUCAUAUCAAAAACGGAUAGAUGGCUGGUUAGAGUGCUAAUUUCCUAGCAUUUAUUUCUGGAUCUGCGAUGACCAUGUUAUAAUCAUCUCCUUCAGCCACGAGGACAGGGUUAGGUUAGACAAAUUUGUUGCUCGAUUAGGAAGAGUUCUGAUCAUCUAGCUGAAAAAUUCUCCUCUUUACAUAAAUUUGACUUUUGAUUUCAAAUGCCCUACAUCUUUAGUGGGAGAAGCACAAAAGGGUUGUAGUUGAGGCGAGGCUGGGAACACAGGAUGCAUGGAUGGUGAUGUAGAGGCUUCUCACUAUGUCCAUCAUGUUUUAUUUUUUUCCUUGCCACAGUUCUAUGUAUGCGUUGGGCAGCUGAUUCAACUGGCUAAAUUUUAACCACGUCGAUUCCUCCAUGUUUUGUGACCAUAGCCUUUUUGAUUGGGUGACAAAAACAUUCUUAUCAUUAAAGUAAGUUUAGUUCUGAAAGUUUAAGUUGUAUAGGUGAGCUUGAUGAUCUUCCAUAAAAUAUUUUUUGUGAGAAGAUGGCUGGAAUCUUGGUAGAAGAAUACCAUGCUGAAAGCUGAAGAAUGCACAUAUAUAAUUUUCCCUAAAAUAACAGGAACUAUUCAAGAUUUGAGAUGUUUUUAUGAUGGUUUCAAAAAUAUGGUUACACUUUUGUUUCGUUGGCUAUGAGACUAACAAAGGGGAGCUUAUGUUGGCUAUGAGAUUAACAAAGGGGACCUUAUGUUGCCUAUGAGAUUAACAAAGGGGACCUUAUGUUGGCUGAUCAAAGUUACUCUUAACUUUUGUUUUGUUUUGAUUAACUUGGACUUUCAGUUAACAACUUCCUUUUUCCCUUUGUAGGCUCAAGCUCAAGGCAUCACUCAAAACAGAGUAAGAGAAUAAGCUGGGAAUGGUGCAGUGGUAUGAAAUUAAAAAGAAACUGAAUAUAAAGUUGAAGAGGUGGAGCCAAGCAUGUUGGCCUGCAGUCAUGCUCUAGUUUAUUUACAGGUAUUUAGAUAGUGGUUAAGUUUGCUUUUGUUUCUCUAGGUUUUUGCAUCCUUGGUCUAAAUGCCACCAUCGCGUCAUGGAAUUCUCUCCCUUUAGUGUGACAACAAGAGAAGAAAGGGUGUAAAGAAUAUAGUGUGGUCCAUUUUUGCUUAUGUCACAAUCUGCUAAACCUGGAUUCCACUAACUUAUUGCAUUACCUGCUUGACCAAAAUGUUGGAACCGGCACCCUCGUAAAAAGUAAUGUAUGGUCCUGUGUUUUAUCUCUGGUCUUAUGAAAGCACCGAGUUUAAUUCUUCCAUUAU
This 3932-nucleotide long non-coding RNA is filed under the name Triticum aestivum (bread wheat). RNAcentral's name for it is "long non-coding RNA (TAES_LNC016975)". The stretch from base 2048 to 2119 matches the Rfam family "tRNA". Lineage: Eukaryota; Viridiplantae; Streptophyta; Magnoliopsida; Poales; Poaceae. The record is from RNAcentral.